GCUUACGGCCAUACCACCCUGAACACGCCCGAUCUCGUCUGAUCUCGGAAGCUAAGCAGGGUCGGGCCUGGUCAGUACUUGGAUGGGAGACCGCCUGGGAAUACCAGGUGCUGUAAGCUUUU
This 122-nucleotide ribosomal RNA is filed under the name Sebastes nigrocinctus (tiger rockfish). Lineage: Eukaryota; Metazoa; Chordata; Actinopteri; Perciformes; Sebastidae. The record is from RNAcentral. RNAcentral also lists the same sequence under 1 other name.